UAGCUCAGUCGGUAGAGCGACGGACUGUUAAUCCGCAGGUCCCUGGUUCGAGCCC
RNAcentral lists this transfer RNA (55 nucleotides) under Acinetobacter baumannii. RNAcentral describes it as "tRNA-Asn". It matches the Rfam family "tRNA", at positions 8 to 60 of the family's 71-position model. Rfam says of the family: Transfer RNA (tRNA) molecules are approximately 80 nucleotides in length. Their secondary structure includes four short double-helical elements and three loops (D, anti-codon, and T loops). The record is from RNAcentral. RNAcentral also lists the same sequence under 2 other names. Lineage: Bacteria; Pseudomonadati; Pseudomonadota; Gammaproteobacteria; Moraxellales; Moraxellaceae.